GAAUGUUUUGUUUUUUAUCAUUUCAAAAUGGAAUUAAUCCUCUUAUAACAUUUAUUUAAAUGAUAAAUCAAGUGGUAAAUAUAGUUUGCUUGCAGUGAACAUUUGGAACAUAUGAUGAAAAAUAGCUAUAGCCAACGCAAGAGCAGUUUUCAUUGAACAGUUGUUCAAUCUCAGUUUUUAAUAAAUCUGAUAAUAUAAUAUCUGUGCAUGUUAGGAUUGCAGAGAGUGAAGCCAAAAUAAAUAUGUGCACACAUAGCCUAUUCCUCCCUUUCUUUCCAUUUCUGUUCUCUUUCCUCUUUGCUUUUGAAAUUUUUAUUUAGUCCUGAGUGGGGAUGGGGUGGAGAGAAAGUGGACAGUGGGUGGUGGGAGAUACAGGGAGAAAGAAUGAGAAUUGCUCUUGUUCUCAAGGGUACCGCAUCACGUUUUCCUCUGGCUGGCAGUCUUUAACACCAGCGUAUCCUAUGAGACCUGACUUCACUCAUCAGCUGCAUCAGCUCAGUGUCAUUACCACAUGUAGACAGCAAUGUAAUCCUCCUUCUUAGAGAUGCUGCAGCAGAUUGGAGGGUGAAGAGAUGUAUCAGUCAGAUCAGAGUAACCAGCUGGCUCCUGGCUCCUGAUCAUUGUCACAGCUCAGUAGCUGGAAGCUCCUUCCAUAUGGCUGAUGCCUUUAAAAAAAUCUCCUCAAUCUCCAUCCCCAUCUGCAAUACUGUUUAGUUAUUCAAUCAUUUAAGUCAUUCAUGUAUUGAAAAGAGGAUGGGGAUAUGAUCCCUCUGCUCUGUGGCAGUAGAUCUACUAAUGGGAGAGUCCUGGCCGCACAUCUGGCCUGGGUCUGGAGGUGCCCUACGGAAUUGAAAGCUGGCUGGAACUGUCAUCUUAACAUGUCCUGGUCAUCUUAACGUGUCCACCUCUCUGGCAAGCCUCUUUUCAAGUCUUUUUGUUACCAUCUUCAGCUUUUUCCCUCCAUACUAGAUUCUUAAUGAAUUGCUGCCAACAAGAGAAAGCUUUAUACAUGAAGAGAAUGGCAAUAAGAACUAACUCGUCUUUUUAAUUUUAAAACUGGUAUAUAUUCCUAUAUAAUAGGAAUGGAAGAUACUUGCAAAGCCUAUUUGUUCCUCUACAGAAGAGUUAAAAAUUACCUGGGCUAAUGGAAAGAAGGGAGAGUCAGCCAAUUAGAUGCUCCUGAAUGCCCUGAAUUGUGACUUACCUCUUCUUAUCCACAUCCUGAUCAAGGAAAGGGAUGAGAGAGAGGUGGAGAGAGAAGAAAUGGAAAUUCAAAAGUUUUGACGGCAGAGGAAAAUUGUGCUUAUUUCCAGAAUGAGACGAACAAGGUCCUGGGUCCCUACAUGUCAUACUGGCUAGAGACUGGGAAACAGAUUAACUGAGAGAAGCCAUCAAGCCUGAAGAGACAUCGUGUUUGAAAUGUGUAAGGCACAGUGUACCCGCCGUGGAUCAAAACAACCUGAAGGACAGACAGACAGACACACCGAGGAUCAGCAGAUAUCAGUGGGGACAGGUGCUGAUGAUGGUGCAAAUGAGAGUCAUGAAGGAAAGUUAAAUGAUGACCAAAGACCAAGUACCUUCCCCACAAUGCUUUGACAAGCGCUUUUAUAAGCACCCUGGAAUUUAGACACUACCCGGGGAGAAAAGGAAAGGGAGACAAGCAUGAAUUGUCUGAGAAACCCCUGAAUUAAUCAUGUGUACCCCAAUGCAACAAGGAUCUAGAUAUAGAAUAAUUUUAAUUAUAGAAAACAAAAUUAUAUUUUACCCACCCAUAUUUGAUGCCCAUGAAUUUCACAUCUACCUUACGUGCACAUAAAAUUCAAGCUUAGAUAGACGGAAAACAAAAAAUCAAGAAGCAAUAUUUGCCUUCUAAUAACUUAUCUAUUGGAGGAGGUAAAAGAUAGAAAAGUAGUUCAGAUGACAAAUACUAAAAGAGUUAGGAACUUCUGCUUCCACUUACGAUGAAGGAACUUGUACUCAAUCCAUCCACUUUGUAAUUCUCCUUGAGCUGCUGUAAUAAAGUACCACAAACUGGGU
Molecule: long non-coding RNA, 2037 nt
Filed under: Homo sapiens (human)
Lineage: Eukaryota; Metazoa; Chordata; Mammalia; Primates; Hominidae
Description: long non-coding RNA NONHSAT212806.1
Source: RNAcentral